GACCGACAUCAGCGACUCGUUCUGCGACCCAUUGCCGACGGCGAGGUAGGCGUUCAUCCCCAGCUCGCGCAUCUGCUGUUCGCCGAUCACCCGGGUGAUGACGUUUUUGCUGUAGGUAUCGGCCAGCUGACGCGCCUGGGAAGCCAGAUAGGCGGCGUUACAGAUGUUCGGCGGCAUAUUGCCAAGAUCUUUCGC
Molecule: antisense RNA, 195 nt
Filed under: Klebsiella pneumoniae
Lineage: Bacteria; Pseudomonadati; Pseudomonadota; Gammaproteobacteria; Enterobacterales; Enterobacteriaceae
Description: Ysr276
Rfam family: Yersinia sRNA 276
Source: RNAcentral